Octopus sinensis (East Asian common octopus) is the source of this 159-nucleotide long non-coding RNA. RefSeq lists it as uncharacterized. Lineage: Eukaryota; Metazoa; Mollusca; Cephalopoda; Octopoda; Octopodidae. The transcript has 3 exons. The record is from RefSeq and is a predicted model, not a curated record.
GUAUAAGGAACACCCUAAUCUUGGAAAAACAGUUUUGUAAGGUAUUAUAAUACUAUCCAUGUAUAAGAAACUCCCAUAUUUUUUAAACCUAAUUUUUGACAAAAAAGGGUUCCUUAUACAUGUGAAAAUACGGUAUGUACAUACAUAUAUACACACACA